GGAUAUUUAAAAAAAUUGAAUUGAAAUUAUAGAAGAACAUGAGCUGCUCUCAGUUUCAGCUUCCAUGACAAUAUAUUUUCACAGGCAUGCCACCUCGUGCAUAGUUCAUACAACCAAAUGUUUUCAUCCUACCGCGGUAAAUGUUUACUCAUUUACAUUACCUGUUCCGAAGGAAGGCAGCCUUCUUGUCAUUUCAGUUUCUUUUUUAGCUUUCAUUGACUGGCUUAAAGUCAAACUAUGAUCUGUUGCAUGAAGGGGCUGCUGGAAUGGGAUCAGAGGCCUUUUUGUUGGCAAACAUGUUUCAGAGAGGUUACUGCUUGUAACAAUGGGAGAAGUGACCUUUGUUUUCAGCUUUCUAGGCGCUUCCAGUCUCUCUAAUAUCCUUGAAGUUUUUACAUCCAGCUGCUUACUACUUUCUGGUAAAUAUACAAGUAACAUAUCUGUCUUAGGUUUAGAAAUACAAGAAGAAGAGUAUAUCUUGGGGACUUCACUGACAAUCAGCUGUUCCCAUUCUUCUGCAAUAGAAGAAGUGGUUUUGUCUUCUCUAACUGUAAGAUUCAACUGUGGAGAUUCACCUUCAAUGACUAUAGCAUCUAUUACACAAUUUGAUUGUACAGUCACGUCUGAAGAAUCUUGUUGGUUUGAGAACAGUUCAGAUGUUGCCUCAUUCCUUUUAGGUGGAACUGACCCAAAUUGUAAGCUCUCCUUUACAAGCAAGUUCAGCUUUUGAUGGAAGCCUCUCUCAUGCUGCACUGGAUUGUAGUCUCUCAAUUCAAUCUUUAAUAAAGAUGCUUGAAUGGAAUUGUUAACAUCCUUAGACACCGAAGAAUGGAUGAAUUGAUUGAUGUCAGGCAUAGGCAAGACUUCCUCUAAACCUGCAAGACGCUGCGUAGUUGUAGAGUAAUUUGUUAAAAAUGGACAGAGAAGAGAGAAAGUCCUGGGAAGAAAAGUUGAACCAAAAUCUGUCAUGCAUCCUGAGAAGCAUUGGUCCCUUUGGUCCCUUGUCUGAAGGCUGAAGAAUAUAAUAGCAGUGGAAUUCUGUCUUCCUUAUGGUUUCUACGUUAUAAUAUGAAGAACAUACCAAACCCUGAUCCAUUGUAUGUAAAGCACUGCACAUCCCUUGAAAAAGUUGAUAAUUCAAUUCAGAUUGAUACAUUUCUUUUGAAGAAGUUUCUAUCUCAUUGCAAGCUGAUGGAGCUACAAAAUAUGAGGUUCCAAAUAUAACACCUUCACUUAAAGACCUCAAAUUAGUUCUUUCAAUAAUGUUGAAUUCAAUGGGUGAAGGAAUUUGAUGGAGUUUCAUUGUGCUCUGAAAAGAGGGCAUAAACAAGAUCGUUUCAUCUCCAACUCUCACAGAAUUUUCAAUCACAUCAGUUGUUCCCAGAUCACGGCCAGUAACUGGACAAGAAGGACCCUCAACUUUUUUCUUGGCUGCGUUAUCUAACACAAUGCCGUGACACCUGCAUGUCUAUAGGCAAAGUACAAUCUUUCAUAAAGUUUUGAUGAUUUUGACCCAAGAAAGGAAAUGGAAUGACAAAAAAAAGGAUGGAAGAAAAGAACCAUGUUAACACACAAUAAAGCAUGAAGCGAUACUUGUAAUUAAUACCUGACAAGCAUCAAAACCGUCAAUAUUUUGACUGACAGAUAUUGACAAGCUGCAGCUUAUGUGAUUCAAAGAGCCUAUAAGGUUGCUUUUAAAGAUGAAUCGAGCUUGCAAUGGUUCCUCCAUGUCAUCCUUUAAAUCCAGUAGCCAUCGUUUCACCAGACUAUGAAAUACUC
This 1779-nucleotide unclassified non-coding RNA is filed under the name Hevea brasiliensis (rubber tree). The record is from RNAcentral. Lineage: Eukaryota; Viridiplantae; Streptophyta; Magnoliopsida; Malpighiales; Euphorbiaceae.